CAUACCCGUGGUGCAUUCAAGGACUGCCGAACAAUGAACGAAAUCUCAAAGUUUGAUGAAAAAACAUUAUCAGUGAAGCAAAAGGACAAACGUGAAAAUUGCGGGCUUUAAUUUAUAAAUUAAACCAUGGUGCAUUCAAGGAUACCGAAACAGUGCGAAAUCUCAAAGCUUUUUGAAAAAACUAUCAGUGAGGCAAAAAGACAAACCUGAAAAUUGAGGACUUUAUUUUACAAAUUACACAACCAUGGUGUGUUCAAGGACUGACGAAUAAAGUGCGAAAUCUCAACGCUUCUUGAAAAAUCAUUAUCAGCGACGCAAAAAUACAUAAACGUGAAAAUUGUGGGCUUUAAUUUAUAGAUUAUACAACCAUGGUGCGUUGAAGGACCGCCAAAUAAAGUGCGAAAUUUCAACGCUUAUUGAAAAAUCAUUAUCAGCGACACAAAAAUACAUAAACGUCAAAAUUGUGGGCUUUAAUAUAAAGAUUACACAACCAUUGUGCGUUCAAGGACCACCGAACAAAGUGCAAAAUCUCAACGCUUAUUGAAAAAACGUUAUCGGUGACGCAAAAAGACAUACGCAUGUAAAAAUGAUGGGCUUCUUGAGCAGUGGUACAUGUAUGCCGUAUAUGUUACCUGAAUUAUCACGUAUUUUUAAAUUGUUAGCCACUUAUGAUGAAUGAGAAUGAAAUACGUUUUCUGCAGAAAAAACUGCCUAUUUUUGGAGAAAAUUGUGAAUGCGGGGUCGUGAGUGUAGAUCCACUGUAGUCGGGAAAUCACGCCCAUCGCAACAUCUACUCGCUUCCUCUUCUUUUUCUUCCCUCCUUUUUCAUUGUGAAUUGCAACCAGUCGAGUUAGUCCCUUUACAUUGAGUGUGGGUAGUGUCCACUGGGGCACUUUCACUAUGUGGCGAGUGUUGAGUGUACUGAUGGCACACUGGCCCGCUGAUGACGGGCAGUUUUUUCAGAAACAUCACAGAGUGAGUCCUCAUCAUUAAUGUCCAAACUUUAGCACAUACAGUGUGUAGUACCUUAAGGUGACGCUUGGGUUCAUUUUGGGGUACAGUAAGGGAACCAAAGCUGCUUUACCAAUUUUUAAAAGGAAACAUAAAAACUGCAAACUGCCAGAAAAGAGCAUGAAAAUGAGUUUCAUGCUCAUUUCAUGUAUAUAUUUAUCAUGUAAUCGUGUUUUUGUUGCGCUCCGUACCACAGGAUGGAGCCCACGUACAACCAGUGGCCCCCACACCGCCGUUUAAGAAUCAAUGCUGUCGUCCAUUCUCGCCAAGAAAUCAAGAUCAAAGUUGGUGGGCGUGGGAGCCCGGCAGUACAUCAUGUCCAGGAAACGCUUGUUGUUGUCCUGCUCGCUGUAGUUGCUCUCCACAGCAGACAAGGGAGUCCUGCUGCCGAAAUAGCGCUCGUGACGGCUGUAGCUGCCGAAGCAGGACGUGGACACGCGGUCGUCGCAGGCCUCGCCAAUCCUCUCAAGAGGCGGAGAGCAGCGAGAGUCGAGGGAGAAGCGCGACGGCUAAGGGGCUGGCCAUGGACGACCUGGAAGACAAGCUCUGACGCUGGAUGCUCCUCACAAAGGGGCGGACGGAGAAACCACCUUGAAAGCAAAAAGAUGAAAACAUCCAACUUGACUUUGAGACGAUUGAAGAAAAAUGUGCCAUUGCAGGCAGUGAAGCUUAAAUGAUGUGUCUCAAUUAAGACCAGCCUAUAAAUCUGCUAAACCAGUCUCGUGUCAGCAAGUGAAACCUAAUAAAUUACAUAACGCCGGAUGUGCUGGCCACGCUCUUGGUAACCAUAUGCUGAGGCAGCACUCUGCAGCGAGAGUCCUCAUUUCAUAUAUACCACAAGCAGCAGGCCAAGCUCACAUCUGCUUCAGUUUCACACAGCUUGGCGAGCUUUGCCAGAGCAAAGGCCAAAUGUGGACUAAUGUUGCAUUUGCUUAGCUCACUAAAUUGGGAGCUACAAACAAACUUGAUGUUUCAUUUGGAUUUUAACAGCAACAUUGUUAUUGGACAGGCCACUCUUAAGGAUGAAAUGAGAUGUGCUGCAAAGAAAAGGCGAGUGCAUCUUGAAACCACAUUGGAAUCUCCACUAAUGGUGUGGCUUUAGAAGGACUCAAGCAUUUGUCUCUUGUCAGCAAUAUAAAAUGGUUAAAAAAUCUGAGAUGUACAACACGACCAUUGUCUCACCGUCGUCUUCGCUACGCUCUCCGGUAAACUCCACUGACUCCGCCAGCGAAGCCAGGGAGGUGCGUCUGGAUGAGGCACCGGAGGCCAAGCUAGCAGGUCUACUACCGGGCAGCCUGUUGAUCCAGUGGUCACACAAGGAAGAACUGGUAGAGCCUGCAAGGUAAAUAACAUUUUUUUUUUUUUAAAGUAAAUGACCUGACUGAAAAAUGAGGGGUGAUUAACAAGCCCGACCUGCAACAGAGCUGUUGGCAGACCAGGAGGGGAUGGCAGUCCUCCGCUGGUAGAAGAGUAUGUAGGCAGUUUGUUGACACACGUCGUCAUCACCGACUGGUGAAACCUCGCUGUCAUCGAAGCAGUACCACUGGCCGUCAACCGAGUUCUUGCAGUAGGCUGCACAAAAGAAAAUUACAUUUAAUGUGCAAGACCGUGCAUUUCUCCAAUCCUGCAUCGGCUGUUUGUGUUACCAGUGUAGUGUCCUCCGUGCAUGCUCCCGUGAUGGUUGCACACGGCGUACAGGUCAUAAAGGAAAUCAUCUGGGUUUCUCCCCAGGCCGUAGGGUCGCCUCCACGGUGACCAGUGGGAGGGUAAACUCCAGCUGC
This is a long non-coding RNA of Dunckerocampus dactyliophorus (ringed pipefish), 2792 nucleotides long. RefSeq lists it as uncharacterized. The record is from RefSeq and is a predicted model, not a curated record. Lineage: Eukaryota; Metazoa; Chordata; Actinopteri; Syngnathiformes; Syngnathidae. The transcript has 3 exons.